This 4584-nucleotide long non-coding RNA is filed under the name Brassica napus (rape). RNAcentral describes it as "long non-coding RNA (BNAP_LNC021028)". The record is from RNAcentral. Lineage: Eukaryota; Viridiplantae; Streptophyta; Magnoliopsida; Brassicales; Brassicaceae.
GCGAAUACGCAGAAGCUUUCCUCCUUUUCGCUAUCUCCUGAGCCUCGAGUUUUAACCGAUCCAGAAGCUCGUCUCUUCCGUAUACUUUAACGGAAGGAUCAUCUGUGUUGUGUGAGGUUUCAGGUGAUGUCGUCCACUUUUCUUUUAAGGGUUUGCCUUCUAAGGUAGCAGUAGCAGCUUUGGCUGACCAGAAGACGAAUAAAAUGUUGUUGCGGGUGAAGUAGUCCGCCCACUUCUCCCUGUGUUAACAAUCCAAAUUGGUUAGCCAAAAUAAAAAGAGGUUAGAGAAAAAGAGGCAAGGGGCAAGUUUACCUGACGUAAGGAGGUAAGAGAUCCGCCUUGUUUACAAGAAGCAUUGUUUCUUUAUGCUCAUCAAUUUCUCGUGCAUAUGCCUGUAAAUGAUUGGUGGAUCAAUGAAAACUCUAUUAAGAGAAAGCUGCAAGUUGGCAGAGAGAGAGAGAGAGAGAGAGAGAGUUACCUCAAGAUCAGGGCAACGGUAAAACAGAGGAUCUCUAGCAUCAACAACCAUAACAAUCUGAAAGAGAAGUAAAAAAAGAGCCAAUUAUAUUCCGAAAUGAACUUAACCCAUUCAAAUGGGCUCUAGGAGGCGAAAAUGGCAUACCAAAUCACUUCGUUCAAGAACUCGCCAAAGUUGUCUCCAUAUGUCAAGGUUCUUCUCGAAUGGUGUCAGCACAAGCUUUUCAUUUUCCUCGAGGCUGAUUGAAUGCAGGAAAACAAAUAGGUAUGCUUUAAGUGUAUAUCACCAUGUCCCCAAGGAGAAUUGCACAUAAUAAAAUCAAACCACGCAUCUAAAACAGCAGCAAAAUAACAUCUUGAAUGAGCUAUAACUGUUUUGUUACUCUAUUCCAAAAUAUUGAACUUACAAAUGCAUUCCCAAAGAAGUUCAGAUUCUCAAAGGCUAUUUAGAGAUAAGAACACAAACUCAUAGCAUAAGAGCCAAAUUUAUCCACAAUAAUAACAAACAAACAAAAAAAAUCAUUCUCAACUAAAGCAAUCAUGGUUAUAGCGAUGGCUAAAAGAUUGCAGUUUUGUAUCUCAUUUGUAUACACUGAUGCAAGUAUGAAUUCUUCACAACUUUCUCAUCCUUUUAACCAUUCGUUUUCUUAAUACACAAACAUUGUAGCAAAGCAUUUGAACACUUUGCAUAUGAUUAAUCCCAAAUUCUACUAACAACAACAACAACGAAGAAGAAGAAGAAGAUAGAGAACCCUUUAGAUGAGGUGAAAACAGAACAAACCUGACAAGUUUGCGGCGCCAAGAGAGAAAAGCUUGUUUUUCAUUAGCAUCAAGUUGUUCCACAUUCAUUUUAGGCGUCCAAGGAGGUCUGAAUAUUAACAAAUAGAACAUCACUAAACCGAACAGACUCUAUAUUGACUCCAUAACAACAACCCAAAGAAGCAAAAGAGACCUUCUAGGAACUUGAAGACUACUAGCAUGUAAAGCCUCCUCUCUCAUCCGCUGCUCUUUCCACUCUUUAGCCGUUACACCACUCGAGCUCGAACCUGCGUCCCUGUUUUUCACCAAAACGAAAGAAGAAGAUCAACAACAACACACUAGAGAGAAAGGAUUCAAAAUCGAUCUUACAUAUUGAUGGGGAGAGGCGUUGCGGAUUCGUGAUGAAUAGCGUAAAGACGCUCAGCUUCCUCGGCUUGCUCGAUGAUGGCGUCGAUGUCGCUGACCUCCGUGACGGAUUCGAGAACCUUCUUGUUUUGGGACUUGUAGUGUUUCCCUUUAUCCUUGGUUUCCUGGAUCGCGUGGUUGUGGUGCUUCACUAGGGAUCGGCCUAGAGAUGUCUUCUCGUUCUUCCCCAUUUUCGGAUUUUUGGCGGAGAUUGGAGGAAAGAUUGAUUGAACGAUCUUUUUGUGUGUUUCUCGAAAGAGAUAUUUCAAUGUUCGUAAAGGCUCGUCGUGUGAAGCCGACGGAUGUAGCCGCCGUGUGGGGCGAAAUUUAAUAAAAAAAGUAAAAUGUAGGGUUCGAAGGGUAAUUACUCAAUACUGCAAACGGUUUACUUACCCUUGUUGUUCGGGUUUAUUUCAAUUGUCCGGUUUAAUCAUCUCGUUUUGCAAUUCCGGUCUGUUUGAUUGGAGCAGUGCAAUGUGUUUGUGGUGCUUCACUAGGGUCUCUUCAUCUCUUUCUCUCUAUCAUCAUUAUCUUUAUUUCUUUUAAGCCAUCUAAUUAAUUUUUGGUUUAUCCAUCUUUGAAAACUUCGGUGAGUUUUUAGAUCGGUUUAAAUCGUCCUUAGAGUUGCUGCUAUUUCAGUCUCAGAACAUAGACAUGUUUGUGUCUUACAAUUGUCCCGUGGGAUUGUGGCUCAUGCUAUGCAUAUUUUUAUGAUUUUAGAGAAUAGAGUAGGUAUUGAGAGAUUAAAGGUAGAUUAGAGAAGGUUAAUGGGAGAUUUGUAGACAGAUUAGGUAGUAAUUAUGUUUAAGAGUAUUUAAGAAUCAUCAUGAACAAGAGAGUUUAAAGAGAUAAUCUCAUAAUUCUUAAUUAUUAAUCUGAUCAGAGUUUACAAUAUAUAUGAAGAGGCAACAAUAGGAUGAGGGUUUCAUAAAGUAGCACUAUUACCAAAGAUAAGAUUUGCUUUAAUUCAAACUUUUCAAUGAGCUUCUUCCUUGUGCAUAAAGCUCCUUUUGCUUUAUCCAGCUCUUCUCCAGCCUGUCACACGCGCCUCCUCUUCCCUUGCAACGGACUGAUGCCUUAGCUAAGGGAAUAGGGCUUCUCUUCUUCUUCUUCCAAAGUUACCCGGGUAACUAGUAUAACUAGUAUACUAGUAAGUUACUCGGGUAACUAGUAUUACUACGGCCUCUUCAUCAUACCCAACUCCUCAUGUCUUUCUCUUCCUAUAUAUUGAUCUCAUCUCAACACUCCCCCCCCCAAGCUCAGCUUUGUGAAAGUCUAAGCUUGGAUAGCCAUGAGAUCUUCCUCAUUAAAAACCUCACCAAGGAAAACCCAUUGGGACAAAACCUUGAUGAGGGAAAAAGAGUAAAGACCUCAUGACUUAGGGGAUCAGCUCCUUCUCUUCCCAAGAUCUAUGAGUUCUAAUCUGAUGUGAAUGGACUCCAUAGUCUUUUGUCUUGCAUGCUAAUUCCCUAAAACACGUGUUGGCUUCCUCUACGUGGUAAGUUUUGUGGCUCAUUAAAAUACCUACCAUGCUAAAAAUGACGAUACAUAAACUUAGGGAAGUAACUAAAUUUCUCCAAAGUCCAAAGCUAUGAAAAUAGAGGUGAAAAUGCAAACAUUAAGAUCGUGAUCUUGCUUGAAAAAGACAAGAAACCUUGCAUGUGCACAUUGAUCAAUCAAUGCACGAGUAAUGCUGAAGGAUGAAAAGGUCAAAAGGUUUAGAAGAUCAACACCUAAGAAACACACAUUCGGUUGGUUGACAACGUUUAUAAACGAAACUAGUCAAAGCUGCUAUGCGUACGAGUAAGCGAUCUAUAUAUAUAUUAGCGAUCUAUAUUAUGUCAAUCGCACAAAGACUUUGUGACCAGCAUCGACCUGGAAAAGUCUCGAUAAUUUCACAAGGACACAACAUAUAACACUUCCACAAUAAGAAUCCAACACUGUUAUUUUCAGGCAUUUUUGAUCAAUACAUUGAAACCGAUUAGUUUUUCCUCAGUGGCUGCUUCUUGUGCUGUUUAUGCGAGUCUACUUGUUUCUUCUUGGAAGACCCAAGCCCAUUUGCAAGAUCAAACGAGCUCAAAUCCUCUAAAACUUGAUCAAGCCCAAGCCCACGAGCUUCUUCACUAACCUCAGACACUGAACCACCAUCUCCAGUUUCGCCCGUCUCGUUUUCAUCAUCUUCGGGAGGCAUUGCAAAAUGUGGAAGCUUACCUUCAAUGUAGUCUUUCAAAAUCUGCCUAGCAGCUCUCGUCUCAUCAGGCAGUCCACUAGCGGCAACGUACCCACGAGACAGGCAGUAAGUUCUAAGAAGCUCCGAGGCAAGAGGUGGACGGAACCGAGACUCAUAGCUUUUGGGUUUAGGCAAAGAGAUGUUGUACACUCCCUCGAUAACAUCUCGAGGAACACGUUCAGCCACAACCUUAACAGCUUCGCGGUGCUCCGUCAUCCUGUCUAUCGGAAGCACUCCGCAAGCGAUCAUUUCGUAUCUCGAACUCGAGAACGAAGGGAAGACCAGACCGGGGCAAUCGCAGAGCAUCAGCUCCUCGGAGAUGAUCAAUGUCUGGAAGUGCUUUGUCUUCCCUGGGGUGGAUGUGACGCCUGUCCGCUUCUGACCCACCAGUGCAUUGAUCGUUGAACUCUUCCCCACGUUAGGGUACCCAACGAAGCCGACCACAACACGUUCUCGGUGCGAAUACGCAGAAGCUUUCCUCCUUUUCGCUAUCUCCUGAGCCUCGAGUUUUAACCGAUCCAGAAGCUCGUCUCUUCCGUAUACUUUAACGGAAGGAUCAUCUGUGUUGUGUGAGGUUUCAGGUGAUGUCGUCCACUUUUCUUUUAAGGGUUUGCCUUCUAAGGUAGCAGUAGCAGCUUUGGCUGACCAGAAGACGAAUAAAAUGUUGUUGCGGGUGAAGUAGUCCGCCCACUUCUCCCUGUGUUAACAAUCCA